AUAGAGGGUGGUAUUUGUUCUCAGGAGUAGAAUUUAGUGAUUCAUCACUUACCUACGACACCCGGGGCUCAUCACAGCAAGUUCCCUCCUUGAUGUCCAUCAGCCAUCUAGCCCAUCCCCCUGCCUACCUCCCUUCUGGUAACCCUCAGUUUGUUCUCUAUAGGUAAGAGUCUGUUUUCUGG
Molecule: long non-coding RNA, 182 nt
Organism: Herpailurus yagouaroundi (jaguarundi)
Lineage: Eukaryota; Metazoa; Chordata; Mammalia; Carnivora; Felidae
Exons: 3
Source: RefSeq, a predicted model, not a curated record